Molecule: long non-coding RNA, 1561 nt
Organism: Alligator mississippiensis (American alligator)
Lineage: Eukaryota; Metazoa; Chordata; Crocodylia; Alligatoridae
Exons: 3
Source: RefSeq, a predicted model, not a curated record
UCAAAUGGGUUGUUAAAUUUUUGUUUUUAAAUGUAACUCAUGUUUCUUCAGGGAUUAAGCUAAACUUUUUGGUCCCUUUGGCUAUGAUCUGCCAAAAAAGUCAACUAAAUUUAUUUUGCCUUGCAGCUACCAGUUCCUCCCACAUCCUCAUUUGAUACUGUUUCUUCUAUUAGUUUUUUAUAAUUUCUUUUAAUCAUCUUGAUCUGUUGGAAGCUGGCAAAAUCAUUUUUGUGCUUGUAUUCCUCCUAGUUUUCUAUUACAGAGUAUUGAGCUUUAGAGCAGUUUUUCUAUUGCAAAGAACUCAGAGAGACCACAACUAUAGGUUUCUAUUUGAAAUCUCUGGGUUUAACUUGUGAAUCAUGUUUGUAAACCUAACAGGGCUAACAUUGUAUGGCACCUUGCAACACCCUUAGAAGGAUAUCAAGACAUCCCAAGGUGCUAUGGCUUCCAGGUUUGAGAAAUAAUGCCAUAAAAGGAGACUGUAAGUGCUUCUGGGUGAAACUUGUAGGAUAGUAUAUAAUAUGAACAUAAAGGAGUUAUAUUUGCCUUCAAAUAAAAAUGUAAAGGUAACAAUAUUGAAUUGUGGGAAACAUUUGUCAGGAACAUUUGGGAAAAAUUUCUUUGCUAUGGUUUUCUGAAGGUAAUAUAUUUAUUCCACUGACUGUGGAAACUAUUGAGGUAUUGCCCUCCUCUCCAUCACUGGAAAGAUCCUUGCUCAAAUUCUGCUGAACUGACUGCUCCCUCUUGGUGAGGUACUUCCUGAGUCUCAGUGUGGCUUUAGAUUAUUGAGAGGCACUAUGGAUAUGAUUUUUGUAGCCCAGUAGAUUCAGGAAUAAUGCCGAGAACAGCACCAGGAACUGUACGUAUCCUUUAUUGAUCUGACCAAAGCCUUUGACUCUGUUAACUGUGAGGCUGUUUGGAAGAUCUCAUUGAAGUUUGGCUGUCCAGGGAAAUUUAUCACCAUCCUAAGACUCCUUCAUGACCAGAUGACUGCCUCCAUCCUAUGUAGUGGCUCUGCUCCGGAUCCCUUUGCCAUCUAAACUGGCAUCAAGCAGGGCUGUGUGAUCACACAAAUUCUGUUUUUCAUCUUUCUUACAGCAAUCAAGAUGUUCAUCCAUGACCAUCUGCAACAUGGCAUCAGCAUUGAGUCUGGCAUCGACGUCACAAAUUGAAAAAAACAAGUCUGGGAAAGGACUACAUGGUUAUGCCUUGUGAAAGAAGGAGCACUUGAAGUACAGGUUAUGCACUCAGUAAGAUACUUGGACUGAGGCCUGCAGGAAAAACAAAGUGCAAGUAGGUCAUUCUGGUCCAGAUGGAUUACCAUUUAAACAGGACAAACACAGAAUAAACAGGAUGCAUAAGGAAAGAGGUACAGUAAUUAUUAUUUAAAUGGUGUUUGAUUGUUUAUUAUUAUUGUUGUUGAUUUACUUAUGAUUAAGCAAAAAAACCCCAAGAAAGAAUCACAAAACUGAGACUAUAUUAGAGUGUUCUAUAUUUUAAUAAGUGCUUGAUAAAGCAUAUCAUUUGAUUGUCUAGUCCUCAGAAGCUGCUGAACAUAUUC